This 315-nucleotide ribosomal RNA is filed under the name uncultured eukaryote. RNAcentral's name for it is "partial 18S ribosomal RNA". It matches the Rfam family "Eukaryotic small subunit ribosomal RNA", at positions 1470 to 1796 of the family's 1831-position model. The record is from RNAcentral.
CCCUUAGACGUUCUGGGCCGCACGCGCGCUACACUGACCAGUGCAACAAGCAUCCGUCCUUGGCCUACAGGCCCGGGCAAUCUUUGAACGCUGGUCGUGAUGGGGAUAGACUUUUGCAAUUUUUGGUCUUCAACGAGGAAUUCCUAGUAAACGCAAGUCAUCAACUUGCAUUGAUUACGUCCCUGCCCUUUGUACACACCGCCCGUCGCACCUACCGAUUGAAUGGUCCGGUGAAGCCUCCGGAUUGGCGCGCACCUCGGUGCCGCCGAGAAGUUGGCUAAACCUUACCAUUUAGAGGAAGGUGAAGUCGUAACA